AGAGAGGUGUCCGAGCUGGCCGAAGGAGCACGAUUGGAAAUCGUGUAUACGUGUGAGCGUAUCGAGGGUUCAAAUCCCUUCCUCUCUGCCA
This 91-nucleotide transfer RNA is filed under the name Ammoniphilus oxalaticus. Its description in RNAcentral is "tRNA-Ser". It matches the Rfam family "tRNA". From Rfam's summary of the family: Transfer RNA (tRNA) molecules are approximately 80 nucleotides in length. Their secondary structure includes four short double-helical elements and three loops (D, anti-codon, and T loops). The record is from RNAcentral. Lineage: Bacteria; Bacillati; Bacillota; Bacilli; Caryophanales; Paenibacillaceae.